CUCUAGAGCUGAGGGGAACAUGGUUGCCCCACAGCUGCACAGGGAGCCUGGAGCACCAGCAGUUGCCGAUCUGACUUAAUGGUGUUGGAUCUGACAGCUGCCUAUGAAGCAAUCUGGAUCUUCAAAUUAAGAAGAUCUCAAAGGAAGCUUUGGUGUUUUAUCUCGGGAAUCUAUGGGACCAGCCUAGUCUCGGUAUGAUGCCAGACAGGACCAACAGGACAUACAACCUAUGAUCCAGGUGGAAGAUGUUGAAAUUAUCCAUUUCUGGCUCCUGAGUGGCACAUACAAGGACAAAGGAGAGACUGGAAACACUGCACAGCAAGAGACCGCUCUGUCCACUAAGAAGAGAAGAUGAAGCAUUUGAAUCUUGAGUAGCAGGACUCAUUAGGAUGGACCCUCUUCGGCCAAAAAAGGGGGUUGCUUUACCUUUGAUUUGCUUUCUUUUUAUAGUGUAUGCAUGCAAGGUUUGUUUGAUUUUGAGUGGGGAAAUAAAAGUCUGCUUUGGCAGACACUGAACAAAUUUGCUGAUAUACAGAAAAACACCGAGAUGGCAAAAUCUGGGAGGAGGUCUUGUCUUAGAGUUUUCACAGGCAAAUGAAGAACAGGCUCAUGACCAAGGUGCCGAGGCCUUGGGCGGAAUUGGGAAGGAGGCGAAGGAGGAAGUGAGGCUUCCUUCCCAUUUAAGGACCCUGACCCUGACCCAUGAGACAUAUAGGAGUCACCGUAAUAUUUGUAAGUGUGGGAGAGCCAACACAAAGAAUCUGGGCCAUAGCUACAACGCAUCUGAUGUGCAGGGGAACGCAUCCUUUUGUUUCUCACUUCUGAUU
Rattus norvegicus (Norway rat) is the source of this 827-nucleotide long non-coding RNA. RefSeq lists it as uncharacterized. Lineage: Eukaryota; Metazoa; Chordata; Mammalia; Rodentia; Muridae. The record is from RefSeq and is a predicted model, not a curated record.